GAUGGGAGCUUGCUCCCUGAUGUUAGCGGCGGACGGGUGAGUAACACGUGGGUAACCUGCCUGUAAGACUGGGAUAACUCCGGGAAACCGGGGCUAAUACCGGAUGGUUGUCUGAACCGCAUGGUUCAGACAUAAAAGGUGGCUUCGGCUACCACUUACAGAUGGACCCGCGGCGCAUUAGCUAGUUGGUGAGGUAACGGCUCACCAAGGCGACGAUGCGUAGCCGACCUGAGAGGGUGAUCGGCCACACUGGGACUGAGACACGGCCCAGACUCCUACGGGAGGCAGCAGUAGGGAAUCUUCCGCAAUGGACGAAAGUCUGACGGAGCAACGCCGCGUGAGUGAUGAAGGUUUUCGGAUCGUAAAGCUCUGUUGUUAGGGAAGAACAAGUGCCGUUCAAAUAGGGCGGCACCUUGACGGUACCUAACCAGAAAGCCACGGCUAACUACGUGCCAGCAGCCGCGGUAAUACGUAGGUGGCAAGCGUUGUCCGGAAUUAUUGGGCGUAAAGGGCUCGCAGGCGGUUUCUUAAGUCUGAUGUGAAAGCCCCCGGCUCAACCGGGGAGGGUCAUUGGAAACUGGGGAACUUGAGUGC
Molecule: ribosomal RNA, 594 nt
Filed under: Bacillus sp. (in: firmicutes)
Lineage: Bacteria; Bacillati; Bacillota; Bacilli; Caryophanales; Bacillaceae
Description: bacterial SSU rRNA
Rfam family: Bacterial small subunit ribosomal RNA
Source: RNAcentral